GUGAGAAUCCCACAGGCCGUAAACCCAAGGUUUCCAGGGGAAGGUUCGUCCGCCCUGGGUUAGUCGGGACCUAAGCUGAGGCCGAAAGGCGUAGGUGAUGGACAACAGGUUGAUAUUCCUGUACUACCGAUAACCGUUUGAGAGAAGGGAUGACACAGUAGGAUAAGCUAAGCACACUGUUGGUUAUGUGUGCCCAAGCAUUGAGGCAGUCAAAGUAGGCAAAUCCGCUUUGAUAAUGCUGGGAUGUGAUGGGGAGCGAAAUU
RNAcentral lists this ribosomal RNA (263 nucleotides) under Clostridioides difficile. RNAcentral describes it as "partial 23S ribosomal RNA". It matches the Rfam family "Bacterial large subunit ribosomal RNA", at positions 1321 to 1580 of the family's 2925-position model. Lineage: Bacteria; Bacillati; Bacillota; Clostridia; Peptostreptococcales; Peptostreptococcaceae. The record is from RNAcentral.